GUUCUUGUAGCUCAGUUAGUUAGAGCACCCGUUUAAUAAGUAGGAGGUUUUGAGUUCAACUCUAACCAAGAGCA
Molecule: transfer RNA, 74 nt
Filed under: Ipomoea nil (Japanese morning glory)
Lineage: Eukaryota; Viridiplantae; Streptophyta; Magnoliopsida; Solanales; Convolvulaceae
Rfam family: tRNA
About the family: Transfer RNA (tRNA) molecules are approximately 80 nucleotides in length. Their secondary structure includes four short double-helical elements and three loops (D, anti-codon, and T loops). Further hydrogen bonds mediate the characteristic L-shaped molecular structure. tRNAs have two regions of fundamental functional importance: the anti-codon, which is responsible for specific mRNA codon recognition, and the 3' end, to which the tRNAs corresponding amino acid is attached (by aminoacyl-tRNA synthetases). tRNAs cope with the degeneracy of the genetic code in two manners: having more than one tRNA (with a specific anti-codon) for a particular amino acid; and 'wobble' base-pairing, i.e. permitting non-standard base-pairing at the 3rd anti-codon position.
Source: Rfam by way of RNAcentral